AAAAUCCAAAACUGAAUAGGACUUUAGAUGCUCCCACAUGACAUUGCCUUCUCAUAAGCAGAUUAGGGAAGACCUAAACCACACCGUCCAAAGUUUUAGCCAUGCAAAGCCAAGAUAUUAUUGCCAAACUAAACUGAUGCAGCCCAUUGUAUUAAUUGGGUAACCUAGGCCUUUCUAAAGUCCAACAUGGAACUGGAAUUAGAAAAAUGAAACCCAUCUUUCCACGUGAAACAAGUACUGGAAAACUUGGGUGUGAUGCCUGCUGAAUUCUAUGAGUGAAGACAAGAAUACUUAUUUACUUUCAUAAGAAAUCAUACAAAUAGCUAUGAGUUUUAGCCACCUAAGGCCAGCCUCAUUUGUCUACAAAUAGUUAUUAAAUUGACUUGAAAUCAAUCCUAGAAACAAAUCCAG
Molecule: unclassified non-coding RNA, 411 nt
Filed under: Hevea brasiliensis (rubber tree)
Lineage: Eukaryota; Viridiplantae; Streptophyta; Magnoliopsida; Malpighiales; Euphorbiaceae
Source: RNAcentral